GCCAAGAAGGCCAAUGGCAUCCUGGCUUGCAUCAGAAAAAGUGUUGCCAGCAGGAACAGGGAAGUGAUUGUCCCCCUGUACUCAGCACUGGUGAGGCUGCACCUUGAGUAUUGUGUUCAGUUUUGGGCCCCUACUGCAAGAAAGACAUUGAGGCCCUGGAGCAGGUUCAAAGAAGGGCAACAAAGCUGGAGCACAGGACUUAUGAGGAGAAGCUGAAGGAGCUGGGAUUUUUCGGUCUGGAGAAGAGGAGGCUCAGGGGAGACCUUAUUGCUCUCUAUAACUACCCUCAUGGGGGGCUUCAACUUCCCUGACAUAUGCUGGGAAUUCAACGCAGCGCAGAAGCAGCAGUCUAGGAGGUUUCUGGAGUGUAUGGAGGAUAACUUUCUGAUGCAGCUGGUGAGAGAGCCUACGAGAGGAGCUGCCCCGCUAGACCUGCUGUUCACAAACAGAGAAGGUCUGGUGGAAGAUGUGGAGGUUGGGGUCUGUCUUGGACAGAAUGACCAUGAGAUGGUGGAGUUCUCGAUUCUUGGUGGAGCCAGGAGGAAGAACAGCAAAACUGUUACCUUGGACUUCCGGAGGGCGGACUUUGAAUUGUUUAGAAGACUAGUAGGGGGAGUCCCCUGGGAUUCAGUCUUAGAGGGUAAAGGGGUCCAAGACAACUGGUUGCUCUUCAAGAAGGUAGUCUUACAGGCACAGGAGUGGGCUGUCCCCCUGAGCUGCAAAAUGAGCCGGCGGGGAAGGAGACCGGCGUGGAUGAAUAGGGAACUAUUCUUGAGGCUCCGGGAGAAAAAGAGAAUCUACCUCCUGUGGAAGAAGGGACGGGCAACUCAGAAAGAGUACAGAGAAGUUGUUAAGAUGUGCAGGGAGAAAAUCAGAAAGGCGAAAGCCCAGCUCGAACUCAACCUGGCCGCUGGGAUAAAAAGAAACAAGAAAUCCUUUUACAAAUAUAUCAACAGUAAGAGGAGGACUAAGGAGAAUCUCCAUUCCUUACUGGAUGAGGCUGGGAAUGUGACUACUGACGAUAAGGAAAAGGCAGAGGUCCUGAAUGCCUUCUUUACGUCUGUCUUUAAAGGUCAGACCAGUUAUCCUCAGGAUGCUCCACUUUUUGACCUGGUAGUCUCGGCUGGGGAGCAGACUAAACCACCCACGAUUCAGAAGGAAACAGUCAGAGACCUGCUACUCCAACUGGACUGUCACAAGUCCAUGGGGCCGGAUGAGAUUCACCCGAGAGUGCUGAGGGAACUGGCGGAGGUGAUAGCCGAGCCGCUUUCCAUCAUCUAUCAGCGCUCCUUGUUAACAGGUGAAGUACCAGAAGACUGGAGGCUUGCCAAUGUGACUCCCAUCUACAAGAAGGGCUGUAAGGAGGACCCGGGGAACUACAGGCCUGUUAGCCUGACCUCGGUGCCAGGGAAGGUUAUGGAACAGAUUGUCUUGAGGGAGAUCACGCGGCAAGUGCAGGACAACUGGGGGAUCAGGCCUAGCCAGCAUGGGUUCACGAAGGGUAGGUCCUGCUUGACCAACCUGAUCUCCUUCUAUGAUCUAGUGACCCACCUGGUGGAUGAGGC
RNAcentral lists this long non-coding RNA (1565 nucleotides) under Phasianus colchicus (ring-necked pheasant). RNAcentral's name for it is "lncRNA (ENSPCLG00000001896.1)". Lineage: Eukaryota; Metazoa; Chordata; Aves; Galliformes; Phasianidae. The record is from RNAcentral.